Molecule: ribosomal RNA, 703 nt
Filed under: uncultured bacterium
Lineage: Bacteria
Description: bacterial SSU rRNA
Rfam family: Bacterial small subunit ribosomal RNA
Source: RNAcentral
CGCUGUAAACGAUGUCGAUUUGGAGGUUGUGCCCUUGAGGCGUGGCUUCCGGAGCUAACGCGUUAAAUCGACCGCCUGGGGAGUACGGCCGCAAGGUUAAAACUCAAAUGAAUUGGCGGGGGCCCGCACAAGCGGUGGAGCAUGUGGUUUAAUUCGAUGCAACGCGAAGAACCUUACCUACUCUUGACAUCCAGAGAACUUUCCAGAGAUAGAUUGGUGCCUUCGGGAACUCUGAGACAGGUGCUGCAUGGCUGUCGUCAGCUCGUGUUGUGAAAUGUUGGGUUAAGUCCCGCAACGAGCGCAACCCUUAUCCUUUGUUGCCAGCGGUUCGGCCGGGAACUCAAAGGAGACUGCCAGUGAUAAACUGGAGGAAGGUGGGGAUGACGUCAAGUCAUCAUGGCCCUUACGAGUAGGGCUACACACGUGCUACAAUGGCAUAUACAAAGAGAAGCGACCUCGCGAGAGCAAGCGGACCUCAUAAAGUAUGUCGUAGUCCGGAUUGGAGUCUGCAACUCGACUCCAUGAAGUCGGAAUCGCUAGUAAUCGUAGAUCAGAAUGCUACGGUGAAUACGUUCCCGGGCCUUGUACACACCGCCCGUCACACCAUGGGAGUGGGUUGCAAAAGAAGUAGGUAGCUUAACCUUCGGGAGGGCGCUUACCACUUUGUGAUUCAUGACUGGGGUGAAGUCGUAACAAGGUAACC